CGGGGAUGGGGGUUCCGGGAUCUGGCCCUGGGGAUUUGGGAUCAGGGAUCCAGGAUCCGGCCCUGGGGUCCCGUCCCACACAAAUCGAUAUUUUUUGGGGGGGAAAUACCGAUUUCUUCUUUUAUUACUUUUUUUUUUUUUUCGUUGUGUCUCCGGAAAGCCCCGUUUCCGGGUGUUUUCGCCCCAAAGGGUGCCGGCUGGGCACUUCUUUCCCCUAAUUUUAGUUGUAGGUGACGCUUUCCUGGGCUGGCUGCGUCUUUUGGGAAGUGUCAGAGGCAGGGACAAACGCCGAGACCUCUCCGUGCGCAGGAACACACUGACACCCCUUCAAAAGGAACAUAUGGCAUAUAUGAUAUAUAUUACCCUCUAAGAUAUACUAUAAUAUUAGCCCUCAAAAAUAAGUAAUCCAAACCGUGAUCAAAAAAAUAAGAAAAAAAUGGAAAAGCUGGGAAAUGUCAGCAGGUCACAACAGGCGCCCCACCUGGGCUGUGUCCCCAGGUGGUGUUUUAGCCAGAACCAGCUUUUGGGGGUCUGCUGAUAAAUACUGGCCUGGGACAGAGGCGUCCUCCGCAAUUCUGUGAUCUGCAGGAGAUGCUGGGAACGGUUACUCCCCCGUUUCUCCUUUUCCUUUCACUUAUCUGCAGCAGAUCCCUCUAAAAUGACUUGGAAAGAUUAUUACUAACUGAUGUGGCUGGUUUAGGACACGCAUAGCACAAGUCCUCCUGGAGAUGUGUCCUGCUUUUGCAAGAUUAUUUUUUUUUUUCAUGUUGUUUUGCGUCAGAGUGGAAGCUCAGAUUUUCCUUCGCAAGUUUUUGGGCCCUCCUCUGGAGUAACUUGAUGGAGCGUUAUUGCAUUUGGCAGGGUGGCAGGAAUGAAGGAUCUCAUGCUCUGCUGCUGUUUUCUCUAUUUUUUUCUCCACUCUCUCUCGCUGUUCUGGCUCCAGAGUUGCUCUCCACAGCAGGAGCAGCCUCCCUGCUGCCUCUCCUCAAAGCCAGCCCUUCCCAUGAUUUUCUGGAGAUUUCUCCUUUCCGUUGCAGGUGACGUGAGACAGGGCAGCAGGAGAGGAGUGACAGCGACCAGAGAAAGCCUUCGGUGUGCCCCUGUGUUAGCAAGGAAAGUCAAAUAGGUGGUGCAUUCAAUCCAGCGAUGGGUGCAGCCUGCUGGCUUUGCUGCAGGUAAGAGCUGGAUGGAAGGGCAGAAACCUCGCUCAGAGGGCAGUUCCUCGUGCCCCUCUGGCCACAAAACACCCGAGGAGUUCAGCUGCCAGCCAGCGCGUUCCAAGCCAGAGCAACCAGGGUCGGAUUCAGACCCGUAGAUCUACAUCACAAAUGAAUCUCGCCCACGUUUUGGUUCCUUGCUCUCCGAACAAGUCCCAGCCCGAAGAUGCUGAGCAGGUGGAGAAGGGAAGAGCGGAGGGGAGCCGCCAGGAACUGUCGCUCCAGGCCGCAAGUUGGGUUCUGUCCCAGAUCUCCAGGGAAUCGCCGCCCCGAUGUCGUGCCGCAUCUCAGCUGGUUCUGAGCAGGCGAAGCAGGCUCACAGAGAUAUUUAGGCUCCUCGCACCCAGUAAAAAAUAAACAGGAAUUAGGCACCUGAAUGCGUGGAGAGCCUGGGCUGCAGAGCUCGCAGAGAAAUGAAUGAAAGCCCAGAAGAAUCACAGGUGAGUACAGGAAUAAUUUCCAGGGGUGAGUUGCACCCAAGGGGUGCUGAGCAGAAUACCCCAGCUGUGCCUGUUUACAGGGUGCGUUUUCCUUACAUCUCUGCACGUGCACAAGGUUUCUGAGAUCCCUUUAUGGGAUCUCCGUGGUCCCUCCCAUGCUUUGUUUUUCCCUUGGUUUAACUAAAAAUCGGUUUCCACACCAGAAGUCAGUUUUCAAGUUGCCACCUAUUAGCUUUCCCUCAUGCUGAGCACCAUUAUCUCACCCAUAUUGGGGCGAGGCUUGUGGUCCAUUCACAGCUCCAAAAAUGAGGAGUCAGCACCCCACAUCCAGCGGAGCGUCACCUCAUCAUCAAGCAACGCUUUGGAGUGGAGAUUUUUAAUGUAUUUGUAAUAAAGCACAAGUGUAGUGACGUGGAAUGAACGGGAAAAAAUGCUUUUUAUAAUUGUAACCGUAUGGGAAAAUUAAAACUACCUGUGACAUGGUUUUGUCGGUGUAAAUUUUAAGUUUUCCAGGGGAUGUAAGGGGUUUCUCCGCUCUGGCUGCCCUCCAGCUGCGCCUGCAGCAGCUGACCCCAAAUCAGGGAAUUUGCCCUUGCAAGAGGAGAGCCAUCGUGACUCUCUCCCCUGCAGGACCGAAUGUGGAAGACGUAACUCGGUGCUGGAGGAACCCUUCUUAAUCCUCUGAUCUGACCUUCCACAUAACAUAGGUUGAGGAAUUUCACCCGCUCGCAUCUGCACCAUCUGAGGCAUUUCCAACGUCAUUUUCUUGAAGUAUUUGCUAUUCCCACGCGCUCUGGUAAAUCUUUAAACUGAUCUGCCUCUUUUUUUUUUUUUUUUUUUCCUGAUGUCUGGGCAGAAAAACACUGAAAACAACUAUCAGUGUAGCUGAAUGGGAUAUCUUUACUUAAACACACCGGGAACUCCUCGUAUCUCCCCCGGAGAGCGCAGCAAGUAGGUAAAAAGCUAAGGCUCUGACCUUCAGCAUAUUGGCACGCAUCGUGGCCACCUCCUUGCUUCCAGGAGCAGGAAGCCUCGUGUGCCCAGCUCUGCUUUCCCUGCUGGGAGCAGCUAGCACAGUGUCAGCACAGCCUGUGAAAUCUUGUGGUCCUGCGUCUGAUGCUCAGCUACCCCAGCGCCUCCCGGAUCCCCUGGGUGAAUCGCUCUCUCCUGUUGUGCCGGAGGAAAAUACGGCAAUUAAAUGAAAAUUAAUAAUAAAUAAACGCAUUUUAAAAAAAGCUACCCACAGGCCACGAUGGAAAAUGAAUCCCUGAGGAAACAAAGCCGGAGG
Cygnus olor (mute swan) is the source of this 2945-nucleotide long non-coding RNA. RefSeq lists it as uncharacterized. The transcript is spliced from 3 exons. Lineage: Eukaryota; Metazoa; Chordata; Aves; Anseriformes; Anatidae. The record is from RefSeq and is a predicted model, not a curated record.